UUCAAUGUGUAAUUUGUUUUAUUUUUUAAAAAGUUGUGUAUAUGAUUUUAAUCAUCAAAUACUGUAAUAUCCUCGGACUCGGCAAAUUUGGGAAUAUCAUAGACGCAAAAAUCCACUAGGACGGAGGUUAUAUUUUCUAGUUUUGUAUUUGCCACAUCAUCAGUGUCCGUCGUUCCUAUUUCUAGUAGUUUGCAGGGGAGUUACACAUACCCCAUCAUUUCUUUUCUUCAUAUAUCACUCCAAAAUUAUACAUACAUGCGCCCAGCUGCCUGUCGUCUGCUAAAAAGUCGGCGAGUCGUACGGGAUACAUCGUGGACGAAGCAUGGAAGACGCGUUUGACGUUCUGGGGCAUUUGGUACCCGAAGUAUCUAUCAAAAUUCUGAGGAUGCUGGAUAUGAAAUCACUUGGGUCCGCAAGCAAGGUUUGCAAACACUGGAGGUCGUUAUGCUAUAGGGAUACUACCCUGAAGCGAAGAAUGAAAAGAUUUAGGGAGCUGCAAGUACUGAAGAAGAAGCUGCGGAGAGUUAGAAAAAAACUCGCGUAUAUUAAGAAGGAAAUAGCAGAAUUAGGAAAUAACCACAGCCUUAAACUAGUUUUUAUGGAAUCGUAGUGCCAGGAAUCUAAUUUUAGUUAGCUCUUGACUAAUAACAAAGCAGUGACUGAAUCUCUGCAGUAAUUUUGUACGGAUGAUGAGACUGUACUUUGGAAUAACAUGCACCACUAUUGUACCGUAACUCAAGUAAGAGGGGUCUUGAGCAAACUGAGAUUUCAAAAAUUGCUUCUGCUAGAGAACAGCUGCAAUGCAGACUUUGACAAAAGGGAAGAAUUUGUUGAAGUGGAAAAUAUUGAUCGUGAAGUGUGUUGCGUAACUUCCUGAAUAAGCAGUUUCACCAUACUUGUUUGUGAACUUCCAUUUGCAUCAUUUGGGAUUUUCACCAACGUGUGAAAAGCAGUCCUUACUAUAGUUUGUGAUCAGGUGCCCUCGAAUACAGGGCAUCAAUUUGUGACAAUGUGUAAUGUUUUUAACUUUAUUUUGUACGUUUAUUUGUAUU
RNA transcript from Schistocerca americana (American grasshopper), 1052 nucleotides. RefSeq lists it as uncharacterized. NCBI's taxonomy places the organism in Eukaryota, Metazoa, Arthropoda, Insecta, Orthoptera, Acrididae. The transcript is spliced from 3 exons. The record is from RefSeq and is a predicted model, not a curated record.